Macrobrachium nipponense is the source of this 462-nucleotide long non-coding RNA. RefSeq lists it as uncharacterized. The transcript is spliced from 3 exons. NCBI's taxonomy places the organism in Eukaryota, Metazoa, Arthropoda, Malacostraca, Decapoda, Palaemonidae. The record is from RefSeq and is a predicted model, not a curated record.
GGUAAAAUUAUUUUAGUUCGUUGUUUUGAAGACUGCCGAAGUUUUGGUGAGAUUUAAGGUCUGCGUUCGGAUUUAUUUACUCUAGGAGUAUUUUAAGGCGAGUGAACUUAACCUAGAGGGUGAAACUUGCACAAGUUAGAUGGCGUAGGAGUUUCCUCAAUUUUGGGUAACAGGGACAUAUCCAGUGCCCCUUGUGCAGGCGCCCAAGCUGCUAUGGACAACAGACCAAAUUAUUCAAGAGCCGAACCGCCGCUUCGAAGGUUUAAGCGAUUAGCUGGUUUGCCGUUGGAGAAUGAGGGCUUAACGGGAAGAGCCAACUACCAAUCUUCAAACAACCAAUUUGUAAACUAGUCAAAAGUUUUUGUAUAGUCACUGUGUGUAAUUAUAGUCAGAUUGACAAAGAGGACCAUGCAGGUCAUCGAAAGCUUUCUGCUUUGUAUUUUGAAUAAAAAGAUCACAUUA